Molecule: ribosomal RNA, 279 nt
Filed under: uncultured bacterium
Lineage: Bacteria
Description: partial 16S ribosomal RNA
Rfam family: Bacterial small subunit ribosomal RNA
Source: RNAcentral
UGCCAGCCGCCGCGGUAAUACGAAGGGACCUAGCGUAGUUCGGAAUUACUGGGCGUAAAGCGUACGUAGGCGGAUUAAUAAGUUAGAGGUGAAAUCCCAGGGCUCAACCCUGGAACUGCCUUUAAAACUGUUAGUCUUGAGAUCGAGAGAGGUGAGUGGAAUUCCAAGUGUAGAGGUGAAAUUCGUAGAUAUUUAGAGGAACACCAGUGGCGAAGGCGGCUCACUGGCUCGAUACUGACGCUGAGGUACGGAAGCUAAGGUAGCAAACGGGAUUAGAUA